RNAcentral lists this small RNA (118 nucleotides) under Rugositalea oryzae. RNAcentral describes it as "Rhodoplanes sp. Z2-YC6860 Rhizobiales sRNA Atu_C8". It matches the Rfam family "Rhizobiales sRNA Atu_C8". Lineage: Bacteria; Pseudomonadati; Pseudomonadota; Alphaproteobacteria; Hyphomicrobiales; Nitrobacteraceae. The record is from Rfam by way of RNAcentral.
UUUUAUUGCUCAGAGGCUGGUACUCGUAAGAAGGCGCACCGCCAUGGGAGGCUGACCUCCCAAGGUUCGGCGGUGCGCGGAAAACAGGGGCUUUGCGGCCCCUUUUUUAAUUCCAAAA